GCAAGUCGAACGCCCCGCAAGGGGAGUGGCGGACGGGUGAGUAACGCGUGGGAAUUUUCCUCAAGGUACGGAACAACUCAGGGAAACUUGGGCUAAUACCGUAUGAUGCAGCGAUGCCAAAGAUUUAUCGCCUUGGGAUAAGCCCGCGUCAGAUUAGGUAGUUGGUGGGGUAACGGCCUACCAAGCCUGCGAUCUGUAGCUGGUCUGAGAGGACGAUCAGCCACAUUGGGACUGAGACACGGCCCAAACUCCUACGGGAGGCAGCAGUGGGGAAUCUUGCGCAAUGGGCGAAAGCCUGACGCAGCCAUGCCGCGUGAAUGAUGAAGGUCUUAGGAUUGUAAAGUUCUUUAGCCUGUGACGAUGAUGACGGUAACAGGAGAAUAAGCCCCGGCUAACUUCGUGCCAGCAGCCGCGGUAAUACGAAGGGGGCUAGCGUUGUUCGGAAUUACUGGGCGUAAAGCGCGCGUAGGCGGUUUUACAAGCCAGAGGUGAAAUGCCUGAGCUUAACUUGGGAAUUGCCUUUGGAACUGUAUGACUUCGAGGACGAGAGAGGUGAGUGGAAUUCCCAGUGUAGAGGUGAAAUUCGUAGAUAUUGGGAAGAACACCGGUGGCGAAGGCGGCUCACUGGCUCGUUUCUGACGCUGCAGCGCGAAAGCGUGGGGAUCAAACAGGAUUAGAUACCCUGGUAGUCCACGCUGUA
Molecule: ribosomal RNA, 700 nt
Filed under: uncultured bacterium
Lineage: Bacteria
Description: bacterial SSU rRNA
Rfam family: Bacterial small subunit ribosomal RNA
Source: RNAcentral